UACGGAGGGUGCAAGCGUUAUCCGGAUUCACUGGGUUUAAAGGGUGCGUAGGCGGGUUGGUAAGUCCGUGGUGAAAUCCCCAAGCUUAACUUGGGAACUGCCGUGGAUACUAUCAAUCUUGAAUAUCGUGGAGGUAAGCGGAAUAUGUCAUGUAGCGGUGAAAUGCUUAGAUAUGACAUAGAACACCAAUUGCGUAGGCAGCUUACUACACGAUCAUUGACGCUGAGGCA
Molecule: ribosomal RNA, 230 nt
Filed under: uncultured microorganism
Description: partial 16S ribosomal RNA
Rfam family: Bacterial small subunit ribosomal RNA
Source: RNAcentral